This is a long non-coding RNA of Mus musculus (house mouse), 1988 nucleotides long. RefSeq annotates it as predicted gene, 41142. NCBI's taxonomy places the organism in Eukaryota, Metazoa, Chordata, Mammalia, Rodentia, Muridae. The transcript is spliced from 4 exons. The record is from RefSeq and is a predicted model, not a curated record.
AUCCACAUUCUUCUAAACACAAUAUAGUCUGGCCUGUCACAGCAAUACCCCUCAGUCUCUGGUAUCAACCCAUGUCUUAGGAUUUCCCUUGCAGUGAAGAGAAACCAUAACCAAAGCAACUCUUACAAAAGACAGCAUUUAAUUGGGGCUGGCUUACAGAAUCAGAGAUUCAGCAUAGCAGUGUCCAUGUAAGCAUGCUGCUAGAGGAGCUGAGAGUUCUGUCUUGUUUGGAAGACAAACAGGAGAAGACUCAGCAUCCUCAGGUAGCCAGAAGGAGGGUCUCAAAACACACCCCCACAGUGACACACAUUCUCCAACAAGGCCACACCUACUUCAACAAAUUCGUACCUCCUAAUAGUUUCAUUUAUUGUGCCAAGCAUAUUCAAACCACCACACCUCCCCCGGGAGCUACAAUACCUCUGGAUGAGCAGACUUCCUCUCAGAGCUGUGUGGUUGCUGGUCUCUAGUGUCUCUGGAUACUCUUCCAUUGGGACACUCUCCUGCUUCAAAGCUGUGUACAUCCUAGGCUUCCAAGUCACAGGACACCUUCCCAUCCCAGCAGAAAGGUCAAGGUUUUGGUGUAGUGCUUCGUGUAGACUUUCUCUGUGGCUUGUGCUUCCCCAACUCUGGAGAGAUCGAACUGCUCUAGGACUCUUCCAUCUCCGGCUGGCCUGCAGCAGACUCAUCUUCCAGCUCACCUAUAGCUCAUCAUCCUAUCCACUAGCAACAAUUAGGAUUGCUAGCUCUUAGCUCUGUAGCCAGAGCCUGCAACUACUGGUAUACCCUGAAAGUGAGGACUGAACUUGCUCCAUAGACUUCAAACUCACAGAGCAGUGGGAGAGAUGAACGAGGAUGGGACCUCUACACACACAUUCAACAAGAAAUAGUCUAAUGAUGUCGCUCCUUUCCCCCAACCCUGACUGUACAUCAAUGUCUGCCUGCAGACACCUGAGCAGACACAGGUGAGACCUGAGACCUCAAAAGCAAACAUUCACAGAAAGUAUAUGAUGGGCCAAACCUGGAAACUGGAGGAGAGACAGGAGCAUGUUGUUCUCUGAGAGGCUCCACCCAGCAGCUGACUCAAACAGAUACAGAUACCCACAGCCAAACAGUGGAUGGAGCUUGUGGACUCUUAAGAAGAAUAGGAGGAAGGAUUUCAGGGCCCAAAGGGGAUAGGAACUCCACAAGAAGACUAACAGAGUCAACUCACCUGGACCCUUGGGUCUCUCAGAGUCUGAACCAUCAACCAAAGAACAUAGACAGGCUGCACCUAGGCCUCCCAGAUGUGUAGCAGAUGUGCAGCUUGGUCUUCAUGUGAGUCCUAAAAAAUCUGGAGUAUUAGCUAUCCCAAAAGUUGUUGCUAGUAAGUGAGAUAUGUUCUACUAGCUAAGCUGCCUUGUCUGGCCUCAAAGAGACUUGCAGUGCCAGGGUAGGGGGCAUACACAGGCUCUCCCUCCACUCUGAGAAGAAGGGGAGGGGGAGGGAUUAUGGGAGGAGUUAACUGAAAGGAGGAGCAGUGAACAGGGUGUAAAGUGAGUACGUAAAAAACAGUAAAAUUGAAUAAAAGAUUCCAGUGUAGCUUUCAUCAAUACUCAGCUGGAUCUCCUCAGAAUCUAUGAAGCUGAGAGUCAACCUCUGUGCAGGAUGAAAGUCACCACACAGCCUCUGGAUAAUUUUCAGUUGGCAUAUUGUAUACACUUUUUUAGCUGAUUUCACAUUAUCUAACAACACUCCACAUAGCCCUUGAACAUCAUAAUAUCUAGUUUGCCAGCUAAAUGAUAUAUAGUUCCUAUUGGCCACAGGCUUAUCAUUAUGUGUGAGUUUCUAGAUCAUUCUUUGAGGCCCUAAUGGAUAGUGCCUGAAAACCUAUCACCCACUUCUGGCAUAAUAUUCACAGCAUUUCAUGCAAAGCCUUUGAUCUGUGAUAAAAAAUAAAGUCCAUAGCAGGAUAAUCCUGUAAUGUGUUGGCCACUACAUGAUUCAGUCAA